CCUACGGGUGGCAGCAGUGAGGAAUAUUGGUCAAUGGGCGAGAGCCUGAACCAGCCAAGUAGCGUGAAUGAUGACUGCCCUACGGGUUGUAAACUUCUUUUAUAGGGGAAUAAAAUUAGCCACGUGUGCCGUUUUGUAUGUACUUUAUGAAUAAGGAUCGGCUAACUCCGUGCCAGCAGCCGCGGUAAUACGGAGGAUCCGAGCGUUAUCCGGAUUUAUUGGGUUUAAAGGGAGCGUAGAUGGGUUGUUAAGUCAGUUGUGAAAGUUUGCGGCUCAACCGUAAAAUUGCAGUUGAUACUGGCAGUCUUGAGUACAGUAGAGGUAGGCGGAAUUCGUGGUGUAGCGGUGAAAUGCUUAGAUAUCACGAAGAACUCCGAUUGCGAAGGCAGCUUACUAGACUGCAACUGACAUUGAGGCUCGAAAGUGUGGGUAUCAAACAGGAUUAGAUACCCGAGUAGUC
This 460-nucleotide ribosomal RNA is filed under the name uncultured bacterium. RNAcentral's name for it is "partial 16S ribosomal RNA". It matches the Rfam family "Bacterial small subunit ribosomal RNA", at positions 338 to 795 of the family's 1533-position model. The record is from RNAcentral.